UGGGUGAUCUGCCCUGCACUUUGGGAUAAGCCUGGGAAACUGGGUCUAAUACCGAAUACACCUCAUGGACUGCAUGGUUUGUGGGGGAAAGCUUUUUGCGGUGUGGGAUGGGCCCGCGGCCUAUCAGCUUGUUGGUGGGGUGAUGGCCUACCAAGGCGACGACGGGUAGCCGGCCUGAGAGGGUGACCGGCCACACUGGGACUGAGACACGGCCCAGACUCCUACGGGAGCA
RNAcentral lists this ribosomal RNA (232 nucleotides) under uncultured bacterium. RNAcentral's name for it is "partial 16S ribosomal RNA". It matches the Rfam family "Bacterial small subunit ribosomal RNA", at positions 118 to 347 of the family's 1533-position model. The record is from RNAcentral.